RNAcentral lists this ribosomal RNA (1433 nucleotides) under uncultured bacterium. Its description in RNAcentral is "16S ribosomal RNA". It matches the Rfam family "Bacterial small subunit ribosomal RNA". The record is from RNAcentral.
CAGGCUUAACACAUGCAAGUCGAGGGGCAUCAGGAAGAAAGCUUGCUUUCUUUGCUGGCGACCGGCGCACGGGUGAGUAACACGUAUCCAACCUGCCCUUUACUCGGGGAUAGCCUUUCGAAAGAAAGAUUAAUACCCGAUGGCAUAAUGAUUCCGCAUGGUUUCAUUAUUAAAGGAUUCCGGUAAAGGAUGGGGAUGCGUUCCAUUAGGUUGUUGGUGAGGUAACGGCUCACCAAGCCUUCGAUGGAUAGGGGUUCUGAGAGGAAGGUCCCCCACAUUGGAACUGAGACACGGUCCAAACUCCUACGGGAGGCAGCAGUGAGGAAUAUUGGUCAAUGGGCGCUAGCCUGAACCAGCCAAGUAGCGUGAAGGAUGAAGGCUCUAUGGGUCGUAAACUUCUUUUAUAUAAGAAUAAAGUGCAGUAUGUAUACUGUUUUGUAUGUAUUAUAUGAAUAAGGAUCGGCUAACUCCGUGCCAGCAGCCGCGGUAAUACGGAGGAUCCGAGCGUUAUCCGGAUUUAUUGGGUUUAAAGGGAGCGUAGGUGGACUGGUAAGUCAGUUGUGAAAGUUUGCGGCUCAACCGUAAAAUUGCAGUUGAUACUGUCAGUCUUGAGUACAGUAGAGGGGGGCGGAAUUCGUGGUGUAGCGGUGAAAUGCUUAGAUAUCACGAAGAACUCCGAUUGCGAAGGCAGCUCACUGGACUGCAACUGACACUGAUGCUCGAAAGUGUGGGUAUCAAACAGGAUUAGAUACCCUGGUAGUCCACACAGUAAACGAUGAAUACUCGCUGUUUGCGAUAUACAGUAAGCGGCCAAGCGAAAGCAUUAAGUAUUCCACCCGGGGAGUACGCCGGCAACGGUGAAACUCAAAGGAAUUGACGGGGGCCCGCACAAGCGGAGGAACAUGUGGUUUAAUUCGAUGAUACGCGAGGAACCUUACCCGGGCUUAAAUUGCAGUGGAAUGAUGUGGAAACAUGUCAGUGAGCAAUCACCGCUGUGAAGGUGCUGCAUGGUUGUCGUCAGCUCGUGCCGUGAGGUGUCGGCUUAAGUGCCAUAACGAGCGCAACCCUUAUCUUUAGUUACUAACAGGUUAUGCUGAGGACUCUAGAGAGACUGCCGUCGUAAGAUGUGAGGAAGGUGGGGAUGACGUCAAAUCAGCACGGCCCUUACGUCCGGGGCUACACACGUGUUACAAUGGGGGGUACAGAAGGCAGCUAGCGGGUGACCGUAUGCUAAUCCCAAAAGCCUCUCUCAGUUCGGAUCGAAGUCUGCAACCCGACUUCGUGAAGCUGGAUUCGCUAGUAAUCGCGCAUCAGCCACGGCGCGGUGAAUACGUUCCCGGGCCUUGUACACACCGCCCGUCAAGCCAUGGGAGCCGGGGGUACCUGAAGUACGUAAACGCAAGGAUCGUCCUAGGGUAAAACUGGUGACUGGG